AGAGCGGCGGACGGGUGAGUAACGCGUGGGUAACCUGCCCUGUACACACGGAUAACAUACCGAAAGGUAUGCUAAUACGAGAUAAUAUGCUUUUAUCGCAUGGUAGAAGUAUCAAAGCUCCGGCGGUACAGGAUGGACCCGCGUCUGAUUAGCUAGUUGGUAAGGUAACGGCUUACCAAGGCGACGAUCAGUAGCCGACCUGAGAGGGUGAUCGGCCACAUUGGAACUGAGACACGGUCCAAACUCCUACGGGAGGCAGCAGUGGGGAAUAUUGCACAAUGGGCGAAAGCCUGAUGCAGCAACGCCGCGUGAGCGAUGAAGGCCUUCGGGUCGUAAAGCUCUGUCCUCAAGGAAGAUAAUGACGGUACUUGAGGAGGAAGCCCCGGCUAACUACGUGCCAGCAGCCGCGGUAAUACGUAGGGGGCUAGCGUUAUCCGGAAUUACUGGGCGUAAAGGGUGCGUAGGUGGUUUCUUAAGUCAGAGGUGAAAGGCUACGGCUCAACCGUAGUAAGCCUUUGAAACUGGGAAACUUGAGUGCAGGAGAGGAGAGUGGAAUUCCUAGUGUAGCGGUGAAAUGCGUAGAUAUUAGGAGGAACACCAGUUGCGAAGGCGGCUCUCUGGACUGUAACUGACACUGAGGCACGAAA
Molecule: ribosomal RNA, 647 nt
Filed under: uncultured Clostridium sp.
Lineage: Bacteria; Bacillati; Bacillota; Clostridia; Eubacteriales; Clostridiaceae
Description: bacterial SSU rRNA
Rfam family: Bacterial small subunit ribosomal RNA
Source: RNAcentral